RNAcentral lists this ribosomal RNA (262 nucleotides) under uncultured bacterium. RNAcentral describes it as "partial 16S ribosomal RNA". It matches the Rfam family "Bacterial small subunit ribosomal RNA", at positions 90 to 354 of the family's 1533-position model. The record is from RNAcentral.
UUCGAGUGGCGGACGGGUGAGUAACGCGUGGGUAACCUGCCUUACACAGGGGAUAACACCUGGAACAGGUGCUAAUACCGCAUAAGCGCACAGGGCCGCAUGGCCCGGUGUGAAAAACUCCGGUGGUGUAAGAUGGACCCGCGUCUGAUUAGCUUGUUGGCGGGGUAGGGGCCCACCAAGGCGACGAUCAGUAGCCGGCCUGAGAGGGUGGACGGCCACAUUGGGACUGAGACACGGCCCAAACUCCUACGGGAGGCAGCAG